GUGGGGAAUAUUGGACAAUGGGCGCAAGCCUGAUCCAGCAAUGCCGCGUGGGUGAAGAAGGUCUUCGGAUCGUAAAGCCCUUUCGACAGGGACGAUGAUGACGGUACCUGUAGAAGAAGCCCCGGCUAACUUCGUGCCAGCAGCCGCGGUAAUACGAAGGGGGCUAGCGUUACUCGGAAUUACUGGGCGUAAAGGGCGCGUAGGCGGCUCUGUUAGUCAGGCGUGAAAUUCCUGGGCUUAACCUGGGGACUGCGCUUGAUACUGCAGGGCUUGAGGCCGAGAGAGGGUGGUGGAAUUCCCAGUGUAGAGGUGAAAUUCGUAGAUAUUGGGAAGAACACCGGUGGCGAAGGCGACCACCUGGCUCGGUUCUGACGCUGAGGCGCGACAGCGUGGGGAGCAAACAGGAUUAGAAACCCUAGUAGUCC
RNAcentral lists this ribosomal RNA (425 nucleotides) under uncultured bacterium. RNAcentral describes it as "bacterial SSU rRNA". It matches the Rfam family "Bacterial small subunit ribosomal RNA", at positions 354 to 796 of the family's 1533-position model. The record is from RNAcentral.